GGGGAUGUAGCUCAGUGGUAGAGCGCACGGUACAUGUCAGACGCCAACUCGUCCCCUUUGCUUCGGCAUCGAGGGGGGAGGGAGGGUACGUGAGUACUGGUGUAUGGUUUGCGAACUACCGUGAGGUCGCUGGUUCGAGUCCAGCCGUCUCCA
Non-coding RNA from Hyaloscypha variabilis F, 153 nucleotides. The record is from the annotation of a GenBank genome assembly. Lineage: Eukaryota; Fungi; Ascomycota; Leotiomycetes; Helotiales; Hyaloscyphaceae.